GAAGAACCACAAGGGAGACUGCAUCUUGCUCUCUAUCAAAAUCCAGAAUGAAAAUGAUACUAUAUCGUUUUGCUUUCGCAGGUGCGUUGGCAUAACUGUGUGUGUGUGUGUGUGUGUGUGUGUGUGUGUGUGUGUGUGUGUGUGUGUGUGUGUGUGUGUGUGUGUGUGUGUGUGUGUGUGUGUGUGUGUGUGUGUGUGUGUGUGUGUGUUAGUGUGACGCAUAACUGUGUCCUACUUCACUGUUUCUGUAUAUUUGUCUUUUGUUAACUCUCUGUUUUCCUGCUUCCUCUUAUUCUCAGGUAGGAAGUUUUGCUUCAUUGUGAUGAGGUUCUGGCAUAUGUCCACUGCUGAUGUUCCUGAGGACCAGGAGAGUACCAAGAUCUUCAAAAUGGCCACCACUGAAGAAGACCGCCCACAGAAGAAGAUAGUGACAGCUGUCUAUGAAUUCCACUGGGAGCUGACCAAGGGAGCUGAACCUGAUUGGACAGUCACUAACAUCUGGCACUGGAAACUGAUAGGGUGAUUGGACAAGACCCAUGAACACCUCUGUCACCAGGAUACAGCAUCAGACCAAGCAUACACAGCAUCGUUGACCUAAUUCAGCUCUGACAACAUUAAACUCAACAAAACAUUAUUAACCAACAGGACUUCAAUCAGCAGGACCAUUGUACUCAGCCAAGCGCACACAAACUCAACUGAAACAUUACAAGUCAACAGAAGAGUCACCUUGAAUCCUAGCUGCUUUGUAGGGUGGACUGGAUGGAACCAGAGCCCUACACACUGAAAUACAGACCUAUUAUUUAUCCCUAAGUUCUCCGAUCUCAGGUUUGUUGGGAACAAUAGACUUUCUAUGAACCUCAGCAUGAACAAUUCGUUUCUACAAUAUCCCUGCUGUUAUAGAUUGUCCCAGAACAAAAUAAACUGCUUCACGGUGAUACUGUAUGACAUUUUGUCUCUGUGAAACAGUAUCACAGGUUAAACUGUUGUUCUGUAUUGUUCAGAAACACCUUAGUUGUCUGAUUAUUCAGAAGUAAAAUUGAUACCGCAUAGCAUCUAUAAAGGUAAGACACAAUUAAUAAACACAACAAUCCUCAGCAGAAGGGGGCGAUAGUGUUACACAAAUCACAUUAUGAAUUAGUGUUGAUUGAAAGCGGUUGGAUAAUAACUGGCAAGUCUCCCUAUCCUCCUAUAGAUGUUUAUAUGAUACACAUUUUACAUAAGUGACCUCGGUUUAGUUUGGGAAUAAACAAAGGUAGAAUAGUAUACACAUACCGGUCCCACUUUAAAGGAAGUACAGCUUGUAAAGGCUUUAUAUAGCAUACAUAAGCACUACAUAAAUGCUUCACAAAUAAUCUAUAAGCAUAUGUCAUAUUCUAUACAUUUUGUAAAAACAUACAAAGUGUGUAAUGUCACAUUUGGCAAAUCACCCUACAGUGUUAAUGGUUAUGUCACCCUUUAUACAUCAUUUAUAGAGUAUGACAGAUGCUUAUAGUUGAUUUGUUUUAUGUAGUGCUUAUGAAGCAUACAAAUAUCUUACAUUAUGAUUAAAUGUCUCAAAGGAAUCACAGAUGUCGGUGUACUGUAAUGUAUCGUGCCAGUGCCAAAAUCAAACAUCCUCUAUUAGGCCCUCAUUGUAUACAACUACAACCAUUUGUUCUUAACUGACUUGCCUAGUUAAAUAGAUUUUUAAUCAAAUACAAUGUGAAACAUUUACACUGACAGGCUAUUGAACACUGUGUUUCAUCCAAUUCUGUCAACUCUUAAAUCACACUAUUAAUGAUGCAUCAAAAAGAGAGACAAUUCCUUCAUUAGUAAGCAUUAAUUCAUGCAUAAUGAAAUAUGGAUGGGGAUUAUUAUAAUUUCCAGGCGUGGUAAUAUGGACAGGUGCGUAGGGGGUUCUGGUUAGACGCUUCCUGGUUAUUCCUAAUGUGAUUAUGAGUGUGCAUAGCUUUACUUAUGUUAAAACGCUAGUGAAUAUGUUUAUAGCAUAUUAGCCAAUUCACCACGCCAGGGUGUCAGAUUGUUAAAUGGUCAUUUACAGUAGUAGAAUAAUUGUGAUAAAACACUGACAAAAAGAUCAUGUGUUGUUUAUUAACAUGUUAUGUUUCUGUGUUGUUGGGUUUCGACAUAGAUUAGUGUAUGCACCCGGGAACCUUUUAUUCAUCUGGUUAUUCAAGUUGAUAUUGUUAUCCAAACAAUUCAAUAUGCCGUCAGUACAGUAGGUGGGUGUUUGCGCACGCUUGUGUGUAUGUGCGCACGCCUGUGUGUUUGUGUGUCUAAGGCUGUGGCUGUGGCCACAUAUUUAAUUAGGAUUGACAGAUUAACAUUAUAACACUGACUUAAUACAACCAUAGAGUAAAUAUGUGUGUAAAUCUAAUCAAAGAGUAUGACAGAAUAAACAGGACUUCAAAUGAUAAGACUCCGAUGGCAUUGAUGGUACUCAUAAUUCUCAAUAUUUACUUAGGUGUCAGGAGUAGAUAUUGUAUAUUAUCACAUGCAGGAAGGGUAAGCAUUUAGUUAGCAGCAGAAAAAAAUGUAUUACUUAUUCUAGCAACAGCUUAUUGCUCUCAACCUAAGAAAAUACAUGACAGUCCACAAUCAAAAAUAAUUUUAAUGACCGUUAAUAUGACAAUUAAUAGUUAGUCUCAAAGAAAAAAAAAGAAUAAUAACACUUGAAGUACAUUCUUUCACAGAAUAGAUACUGAGGAGGUAAAAGAUACUAUUCAGAUUUAAUUAGCUUGAAUUUCCUUUAGAACGUCCUGGAAAAUCUCCACACACGUCCCCAGUGGGGUGUCUCAUGGAUGCCAGCUUCUACGCCUCCGCAAAUGUCUCCUCGGAAAUACUUGCGCCCACAUUUCGGAAUAUGUCAGUGAUCUGAAAAGGAAAUGGAGGCGGAAAUAAGAAUCAGAAGAUCUCUUUGACAAAUGAUUUCCUCAUGCUCCGUCCUAUUUCAAUAACAUUUUG
RNAcentral lists this long non-coding RNA (2964 nucleotides) under Oncorhynchus kisutch (coho salmon). RNAcentral describes it as "lncRNA (ENSOKIG00005026990.1)". Lineage: Eukaryota; Metazoa; Chordata; Actinopteri; Salmoniformes; Salmonidae. The record is from RNAcentral.